RNAcentral lists this ribosomal RNA (468 nucleotides) under uncultured bacterium. Its description in RNAcentral is "partial 16S ribosomal RNA". It matches the Rfam family "Bacterial small subunit ribosomal RNA", at positions 28 to 506 of the family's 1533-position model. The record is from RNAcentral.
GACGAACGCUGGCGGCGUGCUUAACACAUGCAAGUCGAACGGAAAGGCCCUGCUUGCAGGGUGCUCGAGUGGCGAACGGGUGAGUAACACGUGGGUGAUCUGCCCCUUACUUUGGGAUAAGCCUGGGAAACUGGGUCUAAUACUGGAUAGGACCAUGCUGUAGGUGGUGUGGUGGAAAGAUUAGUUUCGGUAAGGGAUGAGCUCGCGGCCUAUCAGCUUGUUGGUGGGGUAAUGGCCUACCAAGGCGUCGACGGGUAGCCGGCCUGAGAGGGUGGACGGCCACAUUGGGACUGAGAUACGGCCCAGACUCCUACGGGAGGCAGCAGUGGGGAAUAUUGCACAAUGGGCGCAAGCCUGAUGCAGCGACGCCGCGUGGGGAAUGACGGCCUUCGGGUUGUAAACUCCUUUCAGCCAUGACGAAGCCCUUGUGGUGACGGUAGUGGUAGAAGAAGCACCGGCUAACUACGU